AGUGAACGCUGGCGGUAGGCCUAACACAUGCAAGUCGAACGGCAGCACAGUAAGAGCUUGCUCGUACGGGUGGCGAGUGGCGGACGGGUGAGGAAUACAUCGGAAUCUACUUUUUCGUGGGGGAUAACGUAGGGAAACUUACGCUAAUACCGCAUACGACCUACGGGUGAAAGCAGGGGAUCUUCGGACCUUGCGCGAUUGAAUGAGCCGAUGUCGGAUUAGCUAGUUGGCGGGGUAAAGGCCCACCAAGGCGACGAUCCGUAGCUGGUCUGAGAGGAUGAUCAGCCACACUGGAACUGAGACACGGUCCAGACUCCUACGGGAGGCAGCAGUGGGGAAUAUUGGACAAUGGGCGCAAGCCUGAUCCAGCGAUACCGCGUGGGUGAAGAAGGCCUUCGGGUUGUAAAGCCCUUUUGUUGGGAAAGAAAAGCAGCAGGUUAAUACCCCGCUGUUCUGACGGUACCCAAAGAAUAAGCACCGGCUAACUUCGUG
RNAcentral lists this ribosomal RNA (492 nucleotides) under uncultured bacterium. RNAcentral's name for it is "partial 16S ribosomal RNA". It matches the Rfam family "Bacterial small subunit ribosomal RNA", at positions 29 to 507 of the family's 1533-position model. The record is from RNAcentral.